RNAcentral lists this ribosomal RNA (2906 nucleotides) under Enterobacter mori. RNAcentral describes it as "23S ribosomal RNA". It matches the Rfam family "Bacterial large subunit ribosomal RNA". The record is from RNAcentral. Lineage: Bacteria; Pseudomonadati; Pseudomonadota; Gammaproteobacteria; Enterobacterales; Enterobacteriaceae.
GGUUAAGCGACUAAGCGUACACGGUGGAUGCCCUGGCAGUCAGAGGCGAUGAAGGACGUGCUAAUCUGCGAAAAGCGCCGGUGAGGUGAUAUGAACCUUUGACCCGGCGAUGUCCGAAUGGGGAAACCCAGUGUGAUUCGUCACACUAUCGUUAACUGAAUACAUAGGUUAACGAGGCGAACCGGGGGAACUGAAACAUCUAAGUACCCCGAGGAAAAGAAAUCAACCGAGAUUCCCCCAGUAGCGGCGAGCGAACGGGGAGCAGCCCAGAGUCUGAAUCAGCUUGUGUGUUAGUGGAACGGUCUGGAAAGUCCGACGGUACAGGGUGAUAGUCCCGUACACGAAAGCACACUUGCUGUGAACUCGAAGAGUAGGGCGGGACACGUGGUAUCCUGUCUGAAUAUGGGGGGACCAUCCUCCAAGGCUAAAUACUCCUGACUGACCGAUAGUGAACCAGUACCGUGAGGGAAAGGCGAAAAGAACCCCGGCGAGGGGAGUGAAAAAGAACCUGAAACCGUGUACGUACAAGCAGUGGGAGCACCUUCGUGGUGUGACUGCGUACCUUUUGUAUAAUGGGUCAGCGACUUAUAUUCUGUAGCAAGGUUAACCGUAUAGGGGAGCCGAAGGGAAACCGAGUCUUAACUGGGCGUUAAGUUGCAGGGUAUAGACCCGAAACCCGGUGAUCUAGCCAUGGGCAGGUUGAAGGUUGGGUAACACUAACUGGAGGACCGAACCGACUAAUGUUGAAAAAUUAGCGGAUGACUUGUGGCUGGGGGUGAAAGGCCAAUCAAACCGGGAGAUAGCUGGUUCUCCCCGAAAGCUAUUUAGGUAGCGCCUCGUGAACUCAUCUUCGGGGGUAGAGCACUGUUUCGGCUAGGGGGCCAUCCCGGCUUACCAACCCGAUGCAAACUACGAAUACCGAAGAAUGUUAUCACGGGAGACACACGGCGGGUGCUAACGUCCGUCGUGAAGAGGGAAACAACCCAGACCGCCAGCUAAGGUCCCAAAGUCAUGGUUAAGUGGGAAACGAUGUGGGAAGGCACAGACAGCCAGGAUGUUGGCUUAGAAGCAGCCAUCAUUUAAAGAAAGCGUAAUAGCUCACUGGUCGAGUCGGCCUGCGCGGAAGAUGUAACGGGGCUAAACCAUGCACCGAAGCUGCGGCAGCGACGCUUAUGCGUUGUUGGGUAGGGGAGCGUUCUGUAAGCCGUUGAAGGUGGCCUGUGAGGGUUGCUGGAGGUAUCAGAAGUGCGAAUGCUGACAUAAGUAACGAUAAUGCGGGUGAAAAGCCCGCACGCCGGAAGACCAAGGGUUCCUGUCCAACGUUAAUCGGGGCAGGGUGAGUCGACCCCUAAGGCGAGGCCGAAAGGCGUAGUCGAUGGGAAACAGGUUAAUAUUCCUGUACUUGGUGUUACUGCGAAGGGGGGACGGAGAAGGCUAUGUUAGCCGGGCGACGGUUGUCCCGGUUUAAGCAUGUAGGCGGAGGUUCCAGGUAAAUCCGGUACCUUAUUAACGCUGAGGUGUGAUGACGAGGCACUACGGUGCUGAAGUAACAAAUGCCCUGCUUCCAGGAAAAGCCUCUAAGCAUCAGGUAACAUCAAAUCGUACCCCAAACCGACACAGGUGGUCAGGUAGAGAAUACCAAGGCGCUUGAGAGAACUCGGGUGAAGGAACUAGGCAAAAUGGUGCCGUAACUUCGGGAGAAGGCACGCUGAUAUGUAGGUGAAGCCCCUGCGGGUGGAGCUGAAAUCAGUCGAAGAUACCAGCUGGCUGCAACUGUUUAUUAAAAACACAGCACUGUGCAAACACGAAAGUGGACGUAUACGGUGUGACGCCUGCCCGGUGCCGGAAGGUUAAUUGAUGGGGUUAGCGGCAACGCGAAGCUCUUGAUCGAAGCCCCGGUAAACGGCGGCCGUAACUAUAACGGUCCUAAGGUAGCGAAAUUCCUUGUCGGGUAAGUUCCGACCUGCACGAAUGGCGUAAUGAUGGCCAGGCUGUCUCCACCCGAGACUCAGUGAAAUUGAACUCGCUGUGAAGAUGCAGUGUACCCGCGGCAAGACGGAAAGACCCCGUGAACCUUUACUAUAGCUUGACACUGAACACUGGUCCUUGAUGUGUAGGAUAGGUGGGAGGCUUUGAAGCGUGGACGCCAGUCUGCGUGGAGCCAUCCUUGAAAUACCACCCUUUAAUGGCUGGUGUUCUAACGUAGACCCGUGAUCCGGGUUGCGGACAGUGUCUGGUGGGUAGUUUGACUGGGGCGGUCUCCUCCCAAAGAGUAACGGAGGAGCACGAAGGUUAGCUAAUCCUGGUCGGACAUCAGGAGGUUAGUGCAAUGGCAUAAGCUAGCUUGACUGCGAGAGUGACGGCUCGAGCAGGUGCGAAAGCAGGUCAUAGUGAUCCGGUGGUUCUGAAUGGAAGGGCCAUCGCUCAACGGAUAAAAGGUACUCCGGGGAUAACAGGCUGAUACCGCCCAAGAGUUCAUAUCGACGGCGGUGUUUGGCACCUCGAUGUCGGCUCAUCACAUCCUGGGGCUGAAGUAGGUCCCAAGGGUAUGGCUGUUCGCCAUUUAAAGUGGUACGCGAGCUGGGUUUAGAACGUCGUGAGACAGUUCGGUCCCUAUCUGCCGUGGGCGCUGGAGAAUUGAGGGGGGCUGCUCCUAGUACGAGAGGACCGGAGUGGACGCAUCACUGGUGUUCGGGUUGUCAUGCCAAUGGCACUGCCCGGUAGCUAAAUGCGGAAAAGAUAAGUGCUGAAAGCAUCUAAGCACGAAACUUGCCCCGAGAUGAGUUCUCCCUGAGACUUUAAGUCUCCUGAAGGAACGUUGAAGACUACGACGUUGAUAGGUCGGGUGUGUAAGCGCAGCGAUGCGUUGAGCUAACCGAUACUAAUGAACCGUGAGGCUUAACCUU